This 253-nucleotide ribosomal RNA is filed under the name uncultured bacterium. RNAcentral's name for it is "partial 16S ribosomal RNA". It matches the Rfam family "Bacterial small subunit ribosomal RNA", at positions 524 to 776 of the family's 1533-position model. The record is from RNAcentral.
UACGUAGGGUGCAAGCGUUGUCCGGAAUUAUUGGGCGUAAAGAGCUCGUAGGCGGUUUGUCACGUCGGCUGUGAAAACCCGAGGCUCAACCUCGGGCCUGCAGUCGAUACGGGCAGACUAGAGUAUGGCAGGGGAGACUGGAAUUCCUGGUGUAGCGGUGAAAUGCGCAGAUAUCAGGAGGAACACCGGUGGCGAAGGCGGGUCUCUGGGCCAUAACUGACGCUGAGACACGAAAGCGUGGGUAGCAAACAGG